GAUGAAGAACGUAGCGAAAUGCGAUAAGUAAUGUGAAUUGCAGAAUUCAGUGAAUCAUCGAAUCUUUGAACGCACAUUGCGCCCCCUGGUAUUCCGGGGGGCAUGCCUGUUCGAGCGUCAUUUCACCACUCAAGCCUCGCUUGGUAUUGGGCAACGCGGUCCGCCGCGUGCCUCAAAUCGACCGGCUGGGUCUUCUGUCCCCUAAGCGUUGUGGAAACUAUUCGCUAAAGGGUGUUCGGGAGGCUACGCCGUAAAACAACCCCAUUUCUAAGGUUGACCUCGGAUCAGGUAGGGAUACCCGCUGAGCUUAAGCAUAUCAAUAAGCGGAGGA
Molecule: unclassified non-coding RNA, 331 nt
Filed under: soil metagenome
Description: partial contains 5.8S ribosomal RNA, internal transcribed spacer 2, and large subunit ribosomal RNA
Rfam family: 5.8S ribosomal RNA (bases 1-120)
Source: RNAcentral